This 1177-nucleotide ribosomal RNA is filed under the name Nocardiopsis sp. RNAcentral's name for it is "bacterial SSU rRNA". It matches the Rfam family "Bacterial small subunit ribosomal RNA", at positions 148 to 1324 of the family's 1533-position model. Lineage: Bacteria; Bacillati; Actinomycetota; Actinomycetes; Streptosporangiales; Nocardiopsidaceae. The record is from RNAcentral.
CGGUGGAAACGCCGUCUAAUACCGGAUACGACCCGCCACCUCAUGGUGGAGGGUGGAAAGUUUUAUCGGUCAGGGAUGGGCUCGCGGCCUAUCAGCUUGUUGGUGGGGUAAAGGCCUACCAAGGCGAUUACGGGUAGCCGGCCUGAGAGGGCGACCGGCCACACUGGGACUGAGACACGGCCCAGACUCCUGCGGGAGGCAGCAGUGGGGAAUAUUGCACAAUGGGCGAAAGCCUGAUGCAGCGACGCCGCGUGGGGGAUGAAGGCCUUCGGGUUGUAAACCUCUUUUACCACCAACGCAGGCUCCACGUUCUCGUGGGGUUGACGGUAGGUGGGGAAUAAGGACCGGCUAACUACGUGCCAGCAGCCGCGGUAAUACGUAGGGUCCGAGCGUUGUCCGGAAUUAUUGGGCGUAAAGAGCUCGUAGGCGGCAUGUCGCGUCUGCUGUGAAAGACCGGGGCUUAACUCCGGUUCUGCAGUGGAUACGGGCAUGCUAGAGGUAGGUAGGGGAAACUGGAAUUCCUGGUGUAGCGGUGAAAUGCGCAGAUAUCAGGAGGAACACCGGUGGCGAAGGCGGGUUUCUGGGCCUUACCUGACGCUGAGGAGCGAAAGCAUGGGGAGCGAACAGGAUUAGAUACCCUGGUAGUCCAUGCCGUAAACGUUGGGCGCUAGGUGUGGGGACUUUCCACGGUUUCCGCGCCGUAGCUAACGCAUUAAGCGCCCCGCCUGGGGAGUACGGCCGCAAGGCUAAAACUCAAAGGAAUUGACGGGGGCCCGCACAAGCGGCGGAGCAUGUUGCUUAAUUCGACGCAACGCGAAGAACCUUACCAAGGUUUGACAUCACCCGUGGACCUGUAGAGAUACAGGGUCAUUUAGUUGGUGGGUGACAGGUGGUGCAUGGCUGUCGUCAGCUCGUGUCGUGAGAUGUUGGGUUAAGUCCCGCAACGAGCGCAACCCUUGUUCCAUGUUGCCAGCACGUAAUGGUGGGGACUCAUGGGAGACUGCCGGGGUCAACUCGGAGGAAGGUGGGGACGACGUCAAGUCAUCAUGCCCCUUAUGUCUUGGGCUGCAAACAUGCUACAAUGGCCGGUACAAUGGGCGUGCGAUACCGUAAGGUGGAGCGAAUCCCUUAAAGCCGGUCUCAGUUCGGAUUGGGGUCUCCAACUCGACCCCAUGAA